Molecule: long non-coding RNA, 487 nt
Organism: Olea europaea var. sylvestris
Lineage: Eukaryota; Viridiplantae; Streptophyta; Magnoliopsida; Lamiales; Oleaceae
Exons: 2
Source: RefSeq, a predicted model, not a curated record
UUUUCUGUGGUGUGGGAUUAAUUGAGAAUGUUUACACAUUCUUCUGCACUCAGGGUAUGUACGAGGACUCCAUACGCUACUAUGUUCGGGCACUCUCUAUGAAUCCAAAGGCGGAUAAUGCCUGGCAGUAUUUGAGAAUCUCUUUGAGCUGUGCUUCCCGGAACGAUAUGCUGGAAGCUUGUGACUCAAGGAAUGUUGAUUUUCUCCAGAAAGAGUUCCCGCUGUGAUUAUACCUUGUGAUCCUGCUGACAAAAGACCUAAGUCAGGUAGCUCAAUUCUCUUGUUGUGCUGAACAAUAUAACCUGGUAGCGACGCUUGAUUUGUAAUUUGGGUAUACCUUUUCUGCUGCCCGAGUGAAUUCACUAUUUCUGCAUACUGGUUAGUUUCAGCCUCAAGAAAAUGAAGUUCAACUAAUACGAAUCAUUGUUUGACUGUAAAAUUAUUGAGCUCGUAGUGGACAUCUCAAGAUGAUGCGUGUGUUUUUUGU